ACAUACAUGUUAACGCCACUAUUGUAGACGCCUUUACAAUUAUUUUCCCCAAAUUCUAGGGUUGUCGAGGGGGGAUUCAAUUUUCCAAGAUUUGGUGAAGGUAAGCAUACUCAGUUUAUGCUUCUUUCAUCUUACAUCCUCAUCUUAAGAGAGAGUUUUCGAUUUGGAGAGGAUCAUGUGUUGUAUUGCUCUCACCUCAAAUCCCUAGCCACCGCCAAACCCAUCGGAUUUUAUCCCGCGGCCAUUGCGAGACCAGCUGGCUUCAAUAUUGAAGUCGAUUGAUCAGUUGGGCUUCUUCUAUCGUUAUCCCUCUCAGAUUCAGCUCCAAAUCAGAAGUUCACCGGCAAUAGAGUCUAUCAAGUGUAGGAGUUGAUGUUGUCGUACUAUAAGGAACGCAGAAUCUUCACUUGGAUGCACAUGCACUCACUGGUUUGAAAAAACUUCACAUCACCAAGGUAUAGGAGGAAAAAUAUGUUUGGAUACGCUUGUAUCCUAAACACGAUCCGAAUAAGCGUUCGAAUAGAGCAUGGAAAUGGUUGUUUCUCCACCUUGUGUGUCACUGUUUCUUCAAACCAAUGGAUAUGGAUAAGAGAAGGAAGAGCAGUUGGUAGAACAUGGAUCCUCAAAUCAAGUAAUCGAGCUAGAUGGUAUGAAGCAUGACUACAUCAUUCUGGCUUUUUCAUUUUGUUUAAAGGUUAGAUUUUCAAAUUUGUUUUAAAAUUUAAUCAUAUUUUUUUAUGAAAAUGAAACAAUAAUUAAUAAUAAUAAAAUGACUAAUGAAACAACUAUAAAAGGAAUAUGCUCUUUUAUAUUGAUUUCAAACUGAUUAAAAAGAAUAUAUUUAAAUUAUAGGUAAUAUAUAUAUCCGAAAAUUAUUGUUAUGAAAAUAUUUUAUUGUUCUUAAAUAAUAGAGCUACUAAAUUCUAAUUUUGUCUAAAAUCUAUUUUUAUAAAAAAUAUUAUAUUUAAUUAAAAUAAAUAACGAAUAAUAGUAUAAUUUAAAAUCUUUAAUAAAAUUUCAUCAAUUAUGGUUUGAAUUAAUUGUAGUAAAGGUUAUUUUUAAUGUAUCAUUAAUUUGUGUGUUUUGUUUUUGAAGAUUUGUUUUUGAGGAUGGCAAACUUUGGUUUGAUAUUUUGGACUUGGGAAUUAAACACAUUAAGAAAUUUAUUGUUUGGUAUUUAAAUUAGCUAAUAAUUAGGGUGUGUUUAUGAAGAGUUUUAGCCAAGGAGAAUGUUGGAUCACACAAGAAACAAGUACAAAACCAUUUUACCAGGGAGUAGUACAAUUAAGAGACUUUAAUUGUGACGUGAAGACUAUACUACUUGUGAUUGAUUUUAUUGUGUUUAGACUUUUAAAUGGGAAAACAUGUAAUCGUAUUAAGGAGCAAGUGCAUCCAUCCACACAUAUUAAACUAUUUGAAAUAAACUUUUUGUAUAUCAAUAAUUUCAUACCCAAUAUUUAUGAAAAUUAUAUUUAAGAAAUUUGCAUAACCAUUUCUAUUAACAACAACAUAACUAUAUGUUCAGAACCGUGCCAUAGUUAGGAAAAAGAAACAUUCACUUAGGGCAUCAAAUUUUGGAGAAAAUAUUAGGAGCAUAUAUUAUUUAGACUGUAGUCCUAAUAAACUUAUGUUUAUAUGAGACUUAAUGGUUAUGCUAAAAUAAUAUGUUAAUAAUAUAGAUAAAUACGAAACAAAUAUUGAGCUUUUGAUAUGGGCUUAAUUAAGUGACUAGAAAACAAUUACUUCAACAAUUAAGGUUUUUUUAAAAGUUAAUAAAUAUUUAGGGUAAGCAAAGAAAUAUAUAUCCCUUUCUCCUCUUUUCUGAACAGAACUCAGUAAACAAAGUUUUCCUCUUGGCACAACUAUGUAUAUGUUACAAGAAAUCAAAUAUUACUUA
This is a non-coding RNA of Camelina sativa (false flax), 1897 nucleotides long. The record is from RefSeq and is a predicted model, not a curated record. Lineage: Eukaryota; Viridiplantae; Streptophyta; Magnoliopsida; Brassicales; Brassicaceae.